ACGAAAUAGUUUUAUCUGGUUAC
Molecule: microRNA, 23 nt
Filed under: Parasteatoda tepidariorum (common house spider)
Lineage: Eukaryota; Metazoa; Arthropoda; Arachnida; Araneae; Theridiidae
Description: pte-miR-35q-5p
Gene: pte-miR-35q-5p
Source: miRBase by way of RNAcentral